Molecule: long non-coding RNA, 725 nt
Organism: Musa acuminata AAA Group (dessert banana)
Lineage: Eukaryota; Viridiplantae; Streptophyta; Magnoliopsida; Zingiberales; Musaceae
Exons: 3
Source: RefSeq, a predicted model, not a curated record
CUUCCCAUUUCUUCUUGAGUUCGAAACCUACGGGAGUGCGUCGGUACUUCUCCACCGUGAUCUAGGGUUUGGAUUAGGUUUUGCUUUUGCGUAUUUUUGUUCGAUCAAGGCGGGAACGGAACAGAGAUGCCGUAGCGGCACUCGAAGAACAACAAUUACCUUGCAUUCUUCACCCACGAGGAGAAGCUCAAGCUCGGAUGCGGCACGCAGCGGGAGCGGCUCGGCAGGGACUCGAUCAGGCCCUUUGACCCUUGUUGCCUCUGCCUCAAGCACCUCAUCCACCCUCUUUUCUGCCAGAAGGGGCACCUCUUGUGCAAGGAGUGUAUCCUUGAGUGCCUCCUUACCCAGAAGAAGGACAUCGAGAGGCGGAUUGCGGAAACCAGCCACCAAAACUUGAAGAUGAGAAGGGAAUUGCAUCAUGAUAUUUCUCAUGAGAUUAUUACCAGUGCAGUUAAUUUUCGUGUCUGGAAUCUUGAUCAUAUAGAUUACAAGUCUCAUAAGUCGAGUGGCAGCAUCGACCAGCAAAUCAAAGCCAAUGCAUUGGGCUCCCGUCAAUAUUGGAUAAACAACAACACAAUUUUAUCUGGAGCAAUCUCUUCACACUAAGAACAUCAAGAAAAGCAAGGCAUAUAUACAUGCAACAUACACAUAUGAUGAUGAUGAUGUUCUAGAGACGAGACAAACAAAUAAGGAAGAGGUUUCCUCGAAGAUAAGCAGCAUUCAGG